UACGAAGGUCCCAAGCGUUGUUCGGAAUCACUGGGCGUAAAGCGCGUGUAGGCUGCGCAGUAAGUCAGAUGUGAAAUCUUCGGGCUCAACCCGGAAACUGCAUCCGAUACUGCUGCGCUAGAGGACUGGAGAGGGAUGUGGAAUUCUUGGUGGAGCAGUGAAAUGCGUAGAUAUCAAGAGGAACACCAACGGCGAAGGCAACAUCCUGGACAGAUCCUGACGCUCAGACGCGAAGGCUAGGGUAGCGAACGGG
RNAcentral lists this ribosomal RNA (253 nucleotides) under uncultured bacterium. Its description in RNAcentral is "partial 16S ribosomal RNA". It matches the Rfam family "Bacterial small subunit ribosomal RNA", at positions 524 to 776 of the family's 1533-position model. The record is from RNAcentral.